UCCCUGGUGGCUCAGACAGUAAAGCAUCUGCCUGCAAUGCGGGAGACCCGGGUUCGAUCCCUGGGUCGGGAA
Molecule: transfer RNA, 72 nt
Filed under: Ovis aries (sheep)
Lineage: Eukaryota; Metazoa; Chordata; Mammalia; Artiodactyla; Bovidae
Rfam family: tRNA
About the family: Transfer RNA (tRNA) molecules are approximately 80 nucleotides in length. Their secondary structure includes four short double-helical elements and three loops (D, anti-codon, and T loops).
Source: Rfam by way of RNAcentral